AUGGCUGCAGGUGAUAAUGAAGAUAAUUCAGUAAGGGGGAACAUCAAGGAAUUCAAAGCAUGGCUGGCAAGGCUGGAAACCAUGAAUGCAAAAGAACUAAUGGAGUACGGUAAGGCAAACAAAGAUAUGUUUAGCAGUGAAAUGAGAGCAGCAUUUAAGAAGCUUCUUCAGCAAAAGAAACAACAACCACCCAAGAAGAAAAACAAGAGGACUGGGUUUGGUGCAAUAUUAGGUGCAAUGUUGAAGUUCCACAAGGACGAUGAUGAUGAUGAUGGCGAUGGAAACCCUCCAGGAGGAGCUCCUAUUGCAUGCUGA
This 315-nucleotide ribosomal RNA is filed under the name Triticum aestivum (bread wheat). RNAcentral describes it as "partial small subunit ribosomal RNA". The record is from RNAcentral. Lineage: Eukaryota; Viridiplantae; Streptophyta; Magnoliopsida; Poales; Poaceae.